CUGUCUUAUUUGUAAAAAUUGAAUUUAACUUUUAAGUGAAAAGGCUUAAAUAUAAGGAAGGGACGAUAAGACCCUAUAAAACUUUAUAUAAAUUAAAUUUUUUAUUAUAUUUGUUUUGUUUAAUAAUAUAUAGUUUGUUAAUAUUUUAUUGGGGCGAUAGGAAUAUAAAUAAAUAACUGUUCUUUAAAUAAAACAAUAUUAUUGGUUAUAGUGAUCCUUAAUAAAGAUUGAAAGGUAAAGUUACUUUAGGGAUAACAGCGUAAUUUUUUUUGAGAGUUCAUAUCGACAAAAAAGAUUGCGACCUCGAUGUUGAAUUAAAAUUUCUUUAUGGUGCAGGAGCUAUAGGAGAGAGUCUGUUCGACUUUUAAAUUUUUA
This 375-nucleotide ribosomal RNA is filed under the name Odontozona aff. ensifera LMT-2017. RNAcentral's name for it is "partial 16S ribosomal RNA". The stretch from base 251 to 375 matches the Rfam family "Bacterial large subunit ribosomal RNA", at positions 2473 to 2598 of the family's 2925-position model. Lineage: Eukaryota; Metazoa; Arthropoda; Malacostraca; Decapoda; Stenopodidae. The record is from RNAcentral.